Molecule: long non-coding RNA, 2354 nt
Organism: Passer domesticus (house sparrow)
Lineage: Eukaryota; Metazoa; Chordata; Aves; Passeriformes; Passeridae
Exons: 3
Source: RefSeq, a predicted model, not a curated record
CGGGUGUCCCUUUGGCACAGAUUUCCAAGCCCACUUGGGGUUUUUCUGCACUGGAGGUUAAAUGUGCCCACAAACACUCCCUCUCCAGCAGUUGGUGUCCCUUAGGUGUGGGGAUGGUUCAGAGGCUGGGGACUGUGGGCUGGAGAAGCUGUCCUGAUCAUCAGUCAGCUCUCAUGCACAGAGGGAUUUUGCAGCACUGAUAUUUGUGCACCCCACGUUCACACCCAUGGACCAAAAAUGAGCUGAAAAGCUCAUCCAGUCUUUGAGGUGCUUUUUUCUUAGAAGGAAGGAGCUUGCCUGACUUUCCUGCACUCCAGGGGCUCCUCACUCAGGUCUCAGACCAAGUGUUCUCCUGUCCAAGACCCAGCACUGCAGGAACCUCAGGCAUGAGCCACCAGGGUUUGCCCUUUACAGCAUGAGGUUUAUUUUUGAGGCAGAACAGAGGCUGCUAGCUAGGCUUAAAAAGUGGGGUUUUUUUCAGGUCAAAGUUAAAUCUGAAGCAAUUUGAGUAGUCUUUGAAUUGUGCAAGAAAACCCAGCCUCACCCACAGCCAGGCUUUGGCAGAAGUGUUGCAGGUUUGGAAGUGUCCCUUAUUUUGUUUCUGUCCCCCUGUGCUUUGCAGAGUGAUUAAGUUUCAAAUGCCAUAAAACACUGACGAAAUCUGCCUCUGGUGCCAGCUCAAACAGAGCCCCCAAACACAGGCACACUUGGAGAACACCCAAUAAACUCUCUUGGAAAAGGGAGCCAGUGGAGGGACGGCCUUUACCUGGUCCAGGAUGUGAGCAUUUGGGAUUUCACUCUUCAGCUUCCAGGCCACACGGAUGUUGGACUCGGGGGCAUCAAAGCGAGUGCACGGCGUCCUCACGAUCUCAGCACCCAGUGCCUUCAGGAUAUCGACCUUUGGGAGGGACAAGAGGAGCUGCAGCACAGCUGAUCCCACACAGGGAUGGACGAUGAUGCAGCGGUAACCCUUCAAUGCAGCCACCAGUGCCAGCCCAAUCCCUGCGUGGGGGGAGCAGAGGGAAUUGGUUGGCACCAGAAUUUGGCAGGAGCGACGGACGCGCGCCGCUGCCCGUGCUCCUCUCUGGAUGGAACCAAGGAGUGGCCACUGACCAGCCAAGGAAAUGGCCAAAGACAUGAUGCUGGACAUUCCUUCUGCAUUUAACUUCAGACUGAGAACAGAGACAUCAUUUUGCCAUCUGGCAGAACCAAACCAAAGAAGAAAUGUCUCAUUGCCAAGCACAGAGAACUGCCUGCAGCAGGGCCAGAUGUGGAAAUCCAGUGGCCAUGGGAAAUCCAGUUUGGUUGGGGAGCUUCUUUUCCCCCCAGGCCAUAAAGCCACAGCCCUGUCCCCCCCCAGCCCCUGGGCUCCCAGUGGCCAGCACACUGUUGUGGCUAAGUCCUGAUGAUCUGAAUUCUUUGUGGCUCGACAUAUGAGCCCAUGGGCAGCCUUAAUUACCAUUUCUGCCAUCCUCCUCCUGCUUGCCUGCUCCGUUCACCCUCCUGGUGGGAGUUUCUCUGCAGCAGCCUGGCAGCACAGCCCGAGGUCCACGCUGUGAUUCCCUGGUGGCUCCCACGCUGGAUGGGGCUGGGGUUUGGUCCCUGAGGGCUGGGCUGUCCCUGGAACACAGAAACACACCACACUGAAACUCCAGCAACACCAGAGGGGUGGAACAGCCCGUGCUGUGUGGCUGAACCUCCUCCUUAUCCAGAGCAUCUCUGGAGAUGGAAGUUAACAACCUUCUGCUGCAACCUGGCUCCACAGCUAAAGCAGACAGAGAACUCUGGUCCAGCCCCACACCAGCCCCUCAGAAACCUUUUCUUCUCCAGACACAGCACCCCCAGCCUCAGAAAGCAGCAGGAAACCAUGAGGGUGCAGGGCAGUCCCCCCAAAAUGCCUUGGCUCCUGCAGCCAGCAAAAGCUUCCCCAGCAAACUUUGCCUCCCAGUGCUCUUCCCCACCACUGCUGCUCAAUGGCAGGGAUUAAAGGGGAAAAAUGGUUCAUUUCCUUGCAAGCCAGGAUUUGUGUUGGCCUUGAGUAUAUCUCCCAAGCAAAUCUGUAUUUACCUAUCUAAUUAGCUGGGAAGGAGCAAAAGUCACCUGUGGGUAAAGAAGAGAUAAUCCACAGUGUAGCAGAAAUGUCAGCACGCUUUCACAACUGAGCUCAGCAGUUACCACACAAAAUGCUGCCUGUUAGAAUUCCAGAUAUUGGGAAUUUUAGAUGUUUUUGUGUUGAAAGACAGACUCUCAAGAGAACACAGCGUUUAACCUGAAGCCAUAGAGAAAACUUCCAAAAUUGAAUAAUAGCAUUAAGAUUAUGAGUGUGUAGUUUGAAUAAAAUGUGUAAUAUCACA